UACCGAGUGCGGGCCCUCUGGGUCCAACCUCCCAUCCGUGUCUAUCUGUACCCUGUUGCUUCGGCGUGGCUACGGCCCGCCGAAGACUAACAUUUGAACACUGUCUGAAGUUUGCAGUCUGAGUUUUUAGUUAAACAAUAAUUAAAACUUUCAACAACGGAUCUCUUGGUUCCGGCAUCGAUGAAGAACGCAGCGAAAUGCGAUAAUUAAUGUGAAUUGCAGAAUUCAGUGAAUCAUCGAGUCUUUGAACGCACAUUGCGCCCCCUGGUAUUCCGGGGGGCAUGCCUGUCCGAGCGUCAUUGCUGCCCUCAAGCACGGCUUGUGUGUUGGGCUUCCGUCCCUGGUAACGGGGACGGGCCCAAAAGGCAGUGGCGGCACCAUGUCUGGUCCUCGAGCGUAUGGGGCUUUGUCACCCGCUCCCGUAGGUCCAGCUGGCAGCUAGCCUCGCAACCAAUCUUUUUAACCAGGUUGACCUCGGAUCAGGUAGGGAUACCCGCUGAACUUAAGCAUAUCAAUAAGCGGAGGAAAAGAAACCAACAGGGAUUGCCUCAGUAACGGCGAGUGAAGCGGCAAGAGCUCAAAUUUGAAAUCUGGCUCCUUCGGGGUCCGAGUUGUAAUUUGUAGAGGAUGCUUCGGGUGCGGCCCCCGUCUAAGUGCUCUGGAACGGGCCAUCGGAGAGGGUGAAAAUCCCGUCUGGGAUGGGGUGUCCGCGUCCAUGUGAAGCUCCUUCGACGAGUCGAGUUGUUUGGGAAUGCAGCUCUAAAUGGGUGGUAAAUUUCAUCUAAAGCUAAAUACUGGCCGGAGACCGAUAGCGCACAAGUAGAGUGAUCGAAAGAUGAAAAGCACUUUGAAAAGAGAGUUAAACAGCACGUGAAAUUGUUGAAAGGGAAGCGCUUGCGACCAGACUCGCUUCCGGGGUUCAGCCGGCUUUCGGGCCGGUGUACUUCCCCGGGGGCGGGCCAGCGUCGGUUUGGGCGGCCGGUCAAAGGCCCCUGGAAUGUAACGCCUCUCGGGGCGCCUUAUAGUCAGGGGUGUCAUGCGGCCAGCCUGGACCGAGGAACGCGCU
This 1066-nucleotide small RNA is filed under the name Eurotium tuberculatum. RNAcentral's name for it is "eukaryotic LSU rRNA". The stretch from base 470 to 1066 matches the Rfam family "Eukaryotic large subunit ribosomal RNA", at positions 1 to 601 of the family's 3401-position model. Lineage: Eukaryota; Fungi; Ascomycota; Eurotiomycetes; Eurotiales; Aspergillaceae. The record is from RNAcentral.